RNAcentral lists this ribosomal RNA (174 nucleotides) under Triticum aestivum (bread wheat). RNAcentral's name for it is "partial small subunit ribosomal RNA". The record is from RNAcentral. Lineage: Eukaryota; Viridiplantae; Streptophyta; Magnoliopsida; Poales; Poaceae.
GCUGUGAAAUUUGGCUAUAAAUGGAACAUAGGGGAUGGGAGCAGAACCAGGUUCUGGGAAGAUACUUGGUUUGGCACAUCCCCCCUAGCAGUCCAAUUUUGGCCUAUUUACUCAGUCUGCAAUGAACAUAACAAAAGUGUGAAUGAAGUUUGGGAUGGGCAAUGCCUAAAACUU